AACGACGCAUAUGAUCAAUUGAAAUUCGGAACACGUACAGUUCAACCGCAGACUAACGGGAGCAAAAUAGUAUAUUAUUAUCAAUUCGCAUAAACUUAUCGAUCGCUUAACUGAAUGCUUAAGCUUUUAAACGUAUUGCUUAGUUGAUACAGCAAAUAUGGUUUUUUGAUCAUGCCGAUUUCGUUGUAUAUGCCGAACCUCUAUAACGAACAAGUCGCUCUUAUAAGGAAAGUAAUGGGUACUAUUCAAAUGUUCACGUUACGUAUACGUGAUCUGACAAGCGGAUGAUAGCAGAUUAGAGUGAGUGCGGCGCUAACUACAACGUCGGAUUUCGUCUAUCAAAUUAUUUCGAGCGCUGAUUUUGCAGAAACGGUGAAGAUAAAUUAGUAAUGAAUUCAACGAAGACAUCAGGCCCAGUCAGUGCUGAACUCAGGCCUCACCGUUAACCUGCAGCUCCGACCAAUCGAUAAAUAUGCGGAAUUAUAACCCGCAGAAUACUACUUCAGGUGAAAGAAGCUAAGAGCUUACGAAUAAGAUACUCAACGCUUUGGUACUCCGCUAUCUGUGUCGUGUAUACCGAGCGCUACCGACAGUCGCGAACCUGAAUGACAACAUAAUUGCGCUCAAGGGUAGAAAGGCUGGCACCGCUUGACUAGCUUGGGAUCUGGCAAAUAUUUUACCAUGUUGCUGAAACUAGACUGGUCUGAAAAAUAAAUAUCUGCAACCCAAAUAAAGGAAAGGGAAGAAUUUCCAAAAUCCUUGUUAGUAAAAUAUUUAAUAAUCUUCAUUUGUGCGUACAGCCGAGUUGGCACGCUUUUGA
Molecule: long non-coding RNA, 820 nt
Organism: Varroa destructor (honeybee mite)
Lineage: Eukaryota; Metazoa; Arthropoda; Arachnida; Mesostigmata; Varroidae
Source: RefSeq, a predicted model, not a curated record